UACAGAUCUUCUCCUUUUCAUAGAUUUAUGCUUUUCAGGCGUCUAUGACUGUGUUUUUGCAAGAAGAAAAAAAUACUGAAGCAAGAUGUCUAGUAUGAAGUAACCUAUGAAGAUAAAAUACAACCUUACUGAAAAGUGAGGAGCUCUAAAACAAAAUGUCUGCAGAAGAGGAUGGGAUCAUGUCAGGUGGGAGCUUACCUCGGCACCAAACUCCAAUCUCUUCUUCAGUGAGUUUAAAAAGUGACAGAUCCAAGGAUGAACCUUUAAGGUUUGACUAUGAAGAUAAACGUGAUUCUAAUGACAUCCAACCUGAAAUUCUGUUGCAGCUGACACAGGUGA
Molecule: long non-coding RNA, 339 nt
Organism: Poeciliopsis prolifica (blackstripe livebearer)
Lineage: Eukaryota; Metazoa; Chordata; Actinopteri; Cyprinodontiformes; Poeciliidae
Exons: 3
Source: RefSeq, a predicted model, not a curated record